Molecule: ribosomal RNA, 253 nt
Filed under: uncultured bacterium
Lineage: Bacteria
Description: partial 16S ribosomal RNA
Rfam family: Bacterial small subunit ribosomal RNA
Source: RNAcentral
UACGUAGGGAGCAAGCGUUGUUCGGAUUUACUGGGCGUAAAGGGCGCGUAGGCGGCGCGGUAAGUCACUUGUGAAAUCUCUGAGCUUAACUCAGAACGGCCAAGUGAUACUGCAGUGCUAGAGUGCAGAAGGGGCAAUCGGAAUUCUUGGUGUAGCGGUGAAAUGCGCAGAUAUCAGGAAGAACACCCGUGGCGAAGGCGGCUCUCUGGUACGUGACUGACGCUGAGACGCGAAAGCGUGGGGAGCAAACAGG